Non-coding RNA from Pelobates cultripes (western spadefoot toad), 253 nucleotides. NCBI's taxonomy places the organism in Eukaryota, Metazoa, Chordata, Amphibia, Anura, Pelobatidae. The record is from the annotation of a GenBank genome assembly.
GCAGGGUGGCCACCCAGUAAUCAGCACAAGUUAGAAUGUGGGCAACUCAGCAGUCGUUGCGCAGGCACUUUGGUGACGCAUUCGGAUGUCUGCCCUAUCAACUUUCGAAGGUACUUUCUGCGCUUCCAUGGUGACCACAGGUAACAGGGAAUCAGGAUUCGAUUCUGGAGAGGAAGCCCGAGAAACGGCUACCACAUCCAAGGAAGGCAGCAGGCGCGCAAAUUACCCACUCCCGACGUGGGGAGGUAGUGAC